GGAAGGGUUGCUUAGUGGUUUGAGUAUUGGACUACAACUCUUGAGACCAGGGUUUGAUUCCUUACUUGGCCA
This is a non-coding RNA of Phrynosoma platyrhinos (Desert horned lizard), 72 nucleotides long. NCBI's taxonomy places the organism in Eukaryota, Metazoa, Chordata, Lepidosauria, Squamata, Phrynosomatidae. The record is from the annotation of a GenBank genome assembly.